GACGCUAAGAGACGAAAGCUAGGGGAGCGAACAGGAUUAGAGACCCUGGUAGUCCUAGCCCUAAACGAUGGAUGCUGGAUGUGGGGUCAUAGCGCUCCGUGUCGAAGCGAACGCGUUAAGCAUCCCGCCUGGGGACUACGGCCGCAAGGUUAAAACUCAAACGAAUUGACGGGACCCCGCACAAGCAGCGGAGCGUGUGGUUUAAUUCGAUGCUACACGAAGAACCUUACCUGGGUUUGACAUCUAGGUGGUAGUGAAGCGAAAGCGGAGCGACCCUUCGGGGAGCCUAGACAGGUGCUGCAUGGCUGUCGUCAGCUCGUGCCGUGAGGUGUCGGGUUAAGUCCCGUAACGAGCGCAACCCUUGCCCUCCGUUAUACGUGUCAGAGGGGACUGCCGGCGGUAAGCCGGAGGAAGGUGGGGAUGACGUCAGGUCAGCAUGGCCUUUAUAUCCAGGGCUACACACACGCUACAAUGGCCAGUACAAAGGGCAGCGAAGCCGCGAGGUGGAGCGAAUCCCAGCAAAGCUGGUCGUAGUUCGGAUUGCAGGCUGCAACCCGCCUGCAUGAAGCUGGAGUUGCUAGUAACCGCGCGUCAGCCAUAGUACGGUGAAUACGUUCCCGGGGUUUGCACUCACCGCCCGUC
RNAcentral lists this ribosomal RNA (642 nucleotides) under uncultured bacterium. RNAcentral describes it as "bacterial SSU rRNA". It matches the Rfam family "Bacterial small subunit ribosomal RNA", at positions 742 to 1398 of the family's 1533-position model. The record is from RNAcentral.